RNAcentral lists this long non-coding RNA (819 nucleotides) under Oryctolagus cuniculus (rabbit). RNAcentral's name for it is "lncRNA (ENSOCUG00000036794.1)". The record is from RNAcentral. Lineage: Eukaryota; Metazoa; Chordata; Mammalia; Lagomorpha; Leporidae.
AUAGGUAUUUUGAUGGUGCAAGUUGUAACAGGCCGUAGAGAAACUAGUUGGUGGGGCAGUACAAGUGGCUUCUCCUUCAGCAAGUAAGAGCACCUACCAUGUACCACACUAUGAAAUAGGCACUGGGGUUACAGAGAAAGUGGGAACAGUUUUGGCCUCAUGGAACUAACAGAGGAAGCGGUCAUGCGAGCAGAUCCCAGAAUGGACCUCUAUAAUGAGGAUGAUGCAACCGGGGCGUUUAUAGGAAAGCUGUGCUCACUGAAAACCGUAACACUUGAUCAGAUGAUAACGAAGUCAAAUGCUCCAAAAUAGGAACUGGACGAAGGGUGAUGUUUCAGGCAGAGGAAAGUACUUUUGGGAAAAUAGCAAGCAGUUUGGCAGGGCUGCAGCCAAGAGAGAAUGGAAGUGGGACAAGAAGUGACGCUGAAGCCGCCUCAGAGCUCAGACCCAGGAAGGCCCCGAGGUGCCUGCUGCGGAGUGCAGGUGAGAUCGUGGAGAUGCAGAUGCUACCAAUGUAAAUGUGCCACACCUAAGCUCCACAGCACCCUGCACUGAUACAGCACAUAGCCUGCAUCUACAGUGGAACAGAGGUUCGUUGCCCCAACUAGACCUUGGGACUUUAGUUCCAUUUGUAGUUAUGACAUAGUUAAGAAACUUAGUUAUCUUCCCCUUAAGGAUUUUUCCCCAUGGGAUGCAGGUAAAAAGAUUGGUGUUUUAGUGUUUGAUACAAUUUAUACCUAAUUCUAAUUUUCUUUACUUUGGUUUUACCUAACAAGUUAGCAGAAGUAAGAUCAUGUGAAGUAAUACAAUAAGGUGCAC